UNUAUUCUUAGCUCACAUGAAAACAUUCUG
This 30-nucleotide non-coding RNA is filed under the name Mus musculus (house mouse). The record is from RNAcentral. Lineage: Eukaryota; Metazoa; Chordata; Mammalia; Rodentia; Muridae.